CAAUGGACGAAAGUCUGAUGCAGCAACGCCGCGUGGAGGAUGACANAUUUCGGUGCGUAAACUCCUUUUAUAUAGGAAGAUAAUGACGGUACUAUAUGAAUAAGCACCGGCUAACUCCGUGCCAGCAGCCGCGGUAAUA
This 139-nucleotide ribosomal RNA is filed under the name uncultured marine bacterium. RNAcentral describes it as "partial 16S rRNA". It matches the Rfam family "Bacterial small subunit ribosomal RNA", at positions 369 to 525 of the family's 1533-position model. The record is from RNAcentral.